Molecule: ribosomal RNA, 200 nt
Filed under: Chlorella variabilis
Lineage: Eukaryota; Viridiplantae; Chlorophyta; Trebouxiophyceae; Chlorellales; Chlorellaceae
Description: partial 28S ribosomal RNA
Rfam family: Eukaryotic large subunit ribosomal RNA
Source: RNAcentral
UUCGACCUGAGCUCAGGCAAGACUACCCGCUGAACUUAAGCAUAUCAAUAAGCGGAGGAAAAGAAACUAACUAGGAUUCCCUUAGUAACGGCGAGCGAACCGGGAAGAGCCCAACUUGAAAAUCUCCAGCCUCCGGCUGGCGAAUUGUAGUCUAGAGAAGUGCUCUCUGUCCCAGUCUGGUCCCAAGUCCCCUGGAAAGG